RNAcentral lists this ribosomal RNA (458 nucleotides) under uncultured bacterium. Its description in RNAcentral is "partial 16S ribosomal RNA". It matches the Rfam family "Bacterial small subunit ribosomal RNA", at positions 340 to 795 of the family's 1533-position model. The record is from RNAcentral.
UACGGGCGGCAGCAGUGAGGAAUAUUGGUCAAUGGCCGUAAGGCUGAACCAGCCAAGUAGCGUGAGGGAAGACUGCCCUAUGGGUUGUAAACCUCUUUUAUGCGGGGAUAAAGGUGUCCACGUGUGGAUGUUUGCAGGUACCGCAUGAAUAAGGACCGGCUAAUUCCGUGCCAGCAGCCGCGGUAAUACGGAAGGUCCGGGCGUUAUCCGGAUUUAUUGGGUUUAAAGGGAGCGUAGAUGGGUUGUUAAGUCAGUUGUGAAAGUUUGCGGCUCAACCGUAAAAUUGCAAUUGAUACUGGCAGCCUUGAGUACAGUUGAGGUAGGCGGAAUUCGUGGUGUAGCGGUGAAAUGCUUAGAUAUCACGAAGAACUCCGAUUGCGAAGGCAGCCUACUAAACUGCCACUGACAUUGAUGCUCGAAAGUGUGGGUAUCAAACAGGAUUAGAUACCCCUGUAGUC